RNAcentral lists this ribosomal RNA (253 nucleotides) under uncultured bacterium. RNAcentral's name for it is "partial 16S ribosomal RNA". It matches the Rfam family "Bacterial small subunit ribosomal RNA", at positions 524 to 776 of the family's 1533-position model. The record is from RNAcentral.
UACGUAGGGUGCGAGCGUUAAUCGGAAUUACUGGGCGUAAAGCGUGCGCAGGCGGUGAUGUAAGACAGAUGUGAAAUCCCCGGGCUCAACCUGGGACCUGCAUUUGUGACUGCAAGGCUUGAGGAUCGGAGAGGUUGGCGGUAUUCCUAGUGUAGAGGUGAAAUUCGCAGAUAUUAGGAGGAACACCGAUGGCGUAAGCAGCCAACUGGACGAUUACUGACGCUGAGAUACGAAAGUAUGGGGAGCAAACAGG